Molecule: transfer RNA, 69 nt
Filed under: Ips sexdentatus
Lineage: Eukaryota; Metazoa; Arthropoda; Insecta; Coleoptera; Curculionidae
Description: tRNA-Val
Source: RNAcentral
CUAGGUAAAGCUUUUCAGAAGUAUUUUAGUUACAUUAAAGAGAACAUUAUUUAAAUUGAUGUGCCUUGA